CAGUCGAACGAGGAUUUAACGGAAUGCGAUUCGUCAAAUGAAAUUAAAUCCAAGCGGUGGACGGGUGAGUAACGCGUGGAUAACCUGCCUCACACAGGGGGACAACAGCCGGAAACGGCUGCUAAUACCGCAUAACAUGAGCAGCUCGCAUGGGCAGCUCACCAAAGAUUUUAUCGGUGUGAGAUGGAUCCGCGUCUGAUUAGCCAGUUGGCGGGGUAACGGCCCACCAAAGCGACGAUCAGUAGCCGACCUGAGAGGGUGACCGGCCACAUUGGGACUGAGACACGGCCCAAACUCCUACGGGAGGCAGCAGUGGGGAAUAUUGCACAAUGGGCGCAAGCCUGAUGCAGCGACGCCGCGUGAAGGAUGAAGUAUUUCGGUAUGUAAACUUCUAUCAGCAGGGAAGAAAAUGACGGUACCUGACUAAGAAGCCCCGGCUAACUACGUGCCAGCAGCCGCGGUAAUACGUAGGGGGCAAGCGUUAUCCGGAUUUACUGGGUGUAAAGGGAGCGUAGAUGGCAUGGCAAGUCUGAAGUGAAAGCCCGGGGCUUAACCCCGGGACUGCUUUGGAAACUGUUAAGCUAGAGUGCAGGAGAGGUAAGCGGAAUUCCUAGUGUAGCGGUGAAAUGCGUAGAUAUUAGGAGGAACACCGGUGGCGAAGGCGGCUUACUGGACUGUAACU
This 682-nucleotide ribosomal RNA is filed under the name uncultured bacterium. RNAcentral describes it as "bacterial SSU rRNA". It matches the Rfam family "Bacterial small subunit ribosomal RNA", at positions 59 to 741 of the family's 1533-position model. The record is from RNAcentral.